This 253-nucleotide ribosomal RNA is filed under the name uncultured bacterium. RNAcentral describes it as "partial 16S ribosomal RNA". It matches the Rfam family "Bacterial small subunit ribosomal RNA", at positions 524 to 776 of the family's 1533-position model. The record is from RNAcentral.
UACGGAGGGUGCGAGCGUUGUCCGGAAUCACUGGGCGUAAAGGGCGCGUAGGCGGUCUGCUAAGCGUGUGGUGAAAGCUCGGGGCUCAACCCCGAGUCGGCCAUGCGAACUGGUGGACUCGAGCACUGUAGAGGCAGGUGGAAUUCCGGGUGUAGCGGUGGAAUGCGUAGAGAUCCGGAAGAACACCGGUGGCGAAGGCGGCUUCCUGGCUUAAAACUGACACUGUGGCGCGAAAGCGUGGGUAGCAAACAGG